This 545-nucleotide ribosomal RNA is filed under the name uncultured bacterium. RNAcentral's name for it is "bacterial SSU rRNA". It matches the Rfam family "Bacterial small subunit ribosomal RNA", at positions 343 to 905 of the family's 1533-position model. The record is from RNAcentral.
GGGAGGCAGCAGUGGGGAAUCUUGGACAAUGGGCGCAAGCCUGAUCCAGCCAUGCCGCGUGUGUGAUGAAGGCCUUAGGGUCGUAAAGCACUUUCGCCAGAGAUGAUAAUGACAGUAUCUGGUAAAGAAACCCCGGCUAACUCCGUGCCAGCAGCCGCGGUAAUACGGAGGGGGUUAGCGUUGUUCGGAAUUACUGGGCGUAAAGCGCACGUAGGCGGACUAGUCAGUCAGAGGUGAAAUCCCAGGGCUCAACCCUGGAACUGCCUUUGAUACUGCUAGUCUUGAGUUCGAGAGAGGUGAGUGGAAUUCCGAGUGUAGAGGUGAAAUUNGUAGAUAUUCGGAGGAACACCAGUGGCGAAGGCGGCUCACUGGCUCGAUACUGACGCUGAGGUGCGAAAGUGUGGGGAGCAAACAGGAUUAGAUACCCUGGUAGUCCACACCGUAAACGAUGAAUGCCAGUCGUCGGGUAGUAUACUAUUCGGUGACACACCUAACGGAUUAAGCAUUCCGCCUGGGGAGUAGCGGUCGCAAGAUUAAAACUCAAA